Molecule: unclassified non-coding RNA, 619 nt
Filed under: Hevea brasiliensis (rubber tree)
Lineage: Eukaryota; Viridiplantae; Streptophyta; Magnoliopsida; Malpighiales; Euphorbiaceae
Source: RNAcentral
CUCUCUCUCUCUCUCUCUCUACAUCAAUGGAAUAUGCAAGUUUACAAUCUCAAUUUCCAAAAAGGUUCAUAUUUUAGACAAACAAUAACAUUGUGCACCAUUGCAAUCGUGUCUUCUUCUUCUCUCUCUAUAUAUUUCCAAUUGCAACUAGAUUGGAAAAUCUCCACUAAUACAUGAUUAUCACUUUUUCAAAUAUAACCAAGCCUCAGCAAUUCCCUCUCUCUCUCUGUAAUUUCAAUUGCAACUAGUUUAGAAUCUCCCCAUAGGUACAUAGGUAUUGCUCGUAAAAAAUAACAAAGCCUCAAGAAUGCCAUCUCAGACAAUAAACUACAAUUGUGAAUUGUGAUAUCAACAACCUAAUGAGAAGUUCACUCAUCAUUAAGUUUUUCUCAAUGUACUAUUUGUAUUACUAUUUAGCUCAAUAGCACUGACUACCAACCUACAGAUCUUCCAGAGCCAGAAACUAUAGUUUCUGCUAAGGGCAUUAAAGGGCCCACCAAAGAUUUUUGCAAUUGGAAUCCAUAAAGCAUGAGAUAUGCUAUUGAUCAAAAUAUAUCCAGGGUACAACAGAAUGCACCAGCAAUGAAGAAAAAUACCUGUUGUGUCCUAUCACCAUGUA